RNAcentral lists this small nucleolar RNA (135 nucleotides) under Ipomoea nil (Japanese morning glory). Its description in RNAcentral is "small nucleolar RNA snoR135". It matches the Rfam family "small nucleolar RNA snoR135". Lineage: Eukaryota; Viridiplantae; Streptophyta; Magnoliopsida; Solanales; Convolvulaceae. The record is from Rfam by way of RNAcentral.
UAAGCAGAGGUUGUGUGUAUCAGCUUUGUGCCUUUUCACAAUUGCACUUUUAUUGAAAGAGUUCUUUGCAAAACUAUAUAUUGGGGAAGAUGGGCAAUUGUGUUUCAUCCUCUUCCAACCCGUCUUUAGUCAUUU